AUUGAACGCUGGCGGCAGGCCUAACACAUGCAAGUCGAGCGGAUGAGGGGAGCUUGCUCCUGGAUUCAGCGGCGGACGGGUGAGUAAUGCCUAGGAAUCUGCCUGGUAGUGGGGGAUAACGUCCGGAAACGGGCGCUAAUACCGCAUACGUCCUGAGGGAGAAAGUGGGGGAUCUUCGGACCUCACGCUAUCAGAUGAGCCUAGGUCGGAUUAGCUAGUUGGUGGGGUAAAGGCCUACCAAGGCGACGAUCCGUAACUGGUCUGAGAGGAUGAUCAGUCACACUGGAACUGAGACAAGGUCCAGACUCCUACGGGAGGCAGCAGUGGGGAAUAUUGGACAAUGGGCGGAAGCCUGAUCCAGCCAUGCCGCGUGUGUGAAGAAGGUCUUCGGAUUGGAAAGCACUUUAAGUUGGGAGGAAGGGCAGUAAGUUAAUACCUUGCUGUUUUGACGUUACCAACAGAAUAAGCACCGGCUAACUUCGUG
This 484-nucleotide ribosomal RNA is filed under the name uncultured bacterium. RNAcentral describes it as "partial 16S ribosomal RNA". It matches the Rfam family "Bacterial small subunit ribosomal RNA", at positions 30 to 507 of the family's 1533-position model. The record is from RNAcentral.